CCUACGGGAGGCAGCAGUGAGGAAUAUUGGUCAAUGGACGAGAGUCUGAACCAGCCAAGUAGCGUGAAGGAUGACUGCCCUAUGGGUUGUAAACUUCUUUUAUAUGGGAAUAAAACGUUCCACGUGUGGGAUUUUGUAUGUACCAUAUGAAUAAGGAUCGGCUAACUCCGUGCCAGCAGCCGCGGUAAUACGGAGGAUCCGAGCGUUAUCCGGAUUUAUUGGGUUGAAAGGGAGCGUAGGUGGAUUGUUAAGUCAGUUGUGAAAGUUUGCGGCUCAACCGUAAAAUUGCAGUUGAAACUGGCAGUCUUGAGUACAGUAGAGGUGGGCGGAAUGCGUGGUGUAGCGGUGAAAUGCUUAGAUAUCACGAAGAACUCCGAUUGCGAAGGCAGUUCACUGGACUGCAACUGACACUGAGGCUCGAAAGUGUGGGUAUCAAACAGGAUUAGAUACCCGGGUAGUC
RNAcentral lists this ribosomal RNA (460 nucleotides) under uncultured bacterium. Its description in RNAcentral is "partial 16S ribosomal RNA". It matches the Rfam family "Bacterial small subunit ribosomal RNA", at positions 338 to 795 of the family's 1533-position model. The record is from RNAcentral.